AAAGCAGUCUUGUGUUGGGAGGGGCUGAUUUGAAGACUUGCAUGUUUCCAAGACCAUAGACAGAUUUUACACAAAUGACAAUAUGCGUGGUGGUGAAACUUGUGCAAAGAGGGUGCACAAGAAGACUGCUCUGAUAGCGCUGAGUAAUCCCAAGGUCUACAAUGGGUGGUGCCUAAUGUCCAUCGAGUUCA
Molecule: long non-coding RNA, 191 nt
Organism: Syngnathus acus (greater pipefish)
Lineage: Eukaryota; Metazoa; Chordata; Actinopteri; Syngnathiformes; Syngnathidae
Exons: 3
Source: RefSeq, a predicted model, not a curated record